Long non-coding RNA from Gasterosteus aculeatus aculeatus (three-spined stickleback), 3316 nucleotides. NCBI's taxonomy places the organism in Eukaryota, Metazoa, Chordata, Actinopteri, Perciformes, Gasterosteidae. The record is from Ensembl.
GACCCCUCCUCACGCUUUCUGAUUGUAUAGAUUAAAAUGUCCGUGUACGGACUUACAUUGCAUUGAUGGUGGGGAUAUUUGUAGGAAUGUGCACGUGUUUUCAGAUUAAGGUUGAGCACAUUCCUUUACUGUCAUACCUCCUUGUUCUGUUGAAUCGUUGCUAGUUGGAUUUGAAACACAUUCCUCCGUGUUUCACACAGCUUUUCAAACCGACCAACACAUAAAGCAACACGUUUUAUUUAACUCUAACAAAAAUCCCAAAUGAAAAGUUGUUUUUUAAGUAAAAUGCUAUAGAUGCUAAAGGAAGAGGGCCGAGCUGGAGGAGCUACGAGACACCAACCAAACGCUGACGGACGAGCAGAAGGAUCUACGCUCGGCUCACCAGACGCAGGUAAAGGGAGCCGAUGCAGCUCCGAGGUGUUUCGCUUAACCUCUGACCUCGAUUAGGUUAUUCACACAAACCAGACAUUCAAACCCCAUCCGGCAAUGAACAAAGAGCCGGUGGCCGUAGUGAGACUGUUGUCCAGCAGGUGUCAGGAUUGGACUUUUUGUCCACCGCUGCUCUGGCACUUUCUAUCGCCGCGUAAAUAGAUAAAUAAUGGCCGUUGAAUGUUUUUAGAACCAAUGUGGCUUUUUUAUCGCUGUCGAGCUUCCAGCCAACUCCUCCAGAAAUGUGCAACAUGGUCCUGCUGCCAGCUCCUCCUAUCAGAAGUAACGUCUUAAAACUGAUCCGGGGCCAGUUUAACAUCAGAGACCAACAAGUCUGCUGCUGCCGCCUGAUUUUGAUUGAUUCAAUUGCAUGAAAUCUAAAACCUCACGGUUCAAAUUUACGGCCCCAAUUUGAAAAACUACAACCACCCGUGAGAAAAGGCACAAAUUCAGAUUUUUUAAAAUUUAUUUCCUGGCAUCGGCAUUCGUUUCAAUGUGUUUUGAGUCGGGGCACCAGCGAAGCAUUCCCACCCAGUGUGAGGAUUUAAUAUUUGUAUUAGACCCCCCUCCCUCGCUGGCCCCCGUUUCUACCAGUCCAUCAAAACCGGCAGAAGAACACGGUUAUCUCUGCUGCGAGAAGGACCGACAGACCGCCCCGCCAGUGGGAAACCUAACGAGAACCUUCAAGCCUGUGAAUUAUUGUGAAAGUCCAGAGAGCCGGAGAUCACGUCCGACCCCCUUUUUCUUUUGCGUUUGCUCAUCUUUCCAGAUGACGGCGCCGGGUUCAAGAGGCUCCUAUUUUUCCCUCCGACCAUAUCGAGGCCUCCGUCUAAGCCCCUGACAUUAUUCAUACAAAAAUGAGGCGAUAUAACAACAUCCUGCUUUACUGUGUUGGAGGUGAGGGAGCUGCAGCAGGAGAACGAGGGGAGUCUGAGGAAGCUGCAGGCGACGGCGGAGCAGUUCGAGUGGCUCUGUCAGCAGCAGCGCGGCUGGAUGUGUUGUGUCAAGAGAUUCAAGGACAGCCUGAUGGAGGAGAGGGACGCUCUGCUGCGACAGGUCGUCGCCCUCAACAAGAAGGUCGAGGAGCUGAAGAAGAGUUUGCGCGAAGACGCUCCCACGCAGAGCGUCCUCCGUCCCCCGCAGGACACUAAACGCCGUGACAGCUUAACGUCGUUGGACGCAGACGCUGUGGCUGACCUGGAGUCUCGGGUGGAGAAGUCAAACAUGCUGUACGCGGCGCUCUUUAACCAGGCAGGAGUCCUCAUCAGCGGAUACCAACACCCUCCUUGAGGACCUGCAGCCUGCAGCCUGGACUCGUCUUCCUCUUCUCUUCCCACCUUCUGCAAACCACAACUUUACCGCUAAAUGUUUGUGUGCGCGGUGAACUUUGUAAAAUACCCGCCAGUCGUUGUCGUAAAAAAAAAAGAAAAGAAAAGAAAACAUGGAACAGCUUAACCGACUCGUUCCCAGAGCCUUUUUUCCCCCUGUCUUCCUUUUACUGUGACACGUGCACAUCACAUGAUGUCACAUUCUCCCGUAAUCGUCCGUUACUCAGACCGUGUAAUCAACACCACCAACCAGAGCGGUGAAGCACCUGCGAAUGUUCUCUUCUGUUGUGUUGCCAAUGAAUCCUCUCUCGGGGGAAGCAGCUGCUGGCGAGCAACAGGAAACAACAAAACGUGCCGUUCAGAGCAAACCGAGGCCCGGCGGAUGGUUUCCUCCGCACGGAGGAUCUGGUUCAUCUCCGCUCCGAACGAGGGGAGAUCCUCACUUAUCAGCACGGAACAGGGAGACGUACGGGAGGGGCCAGUGCUGUCGACUCGAUGGUCUUCAUCGAAAUGGGAAACAUGUGACGCACACAUGCUUCGAGUAACCCUUUGGUUGCUGGACUGACGCGACGAAGCCUCGAGUCCGACGGCAUCGCCGUCGUGGAUUACACGGUCACUUUGUGCAAGUUACGAUAAUUGGAAUCACAACAAGCUCCGCCCUAAAGCAUAUUCGUGCGCUAUGGUUUAGUGGACCGUAAUAUACUAAAUGAACAUCAUGCUGUAUUGAAUAAGAUCAAGGCCAGCAACUCAUGUUUACAGUGUUUACUGAGGGAAUAAGUCAUUUUCUGCACAAUCGGAGUUGCAGCAGCAGCAGCCAGAGAUGUCGACUUGAUCCACCAAAGUUCAACAAAUAAUCCAACAUGUUGUUUUUUGGGCAGAAAAAAUUGUUGUUUUCCUUGACUAAAGUGAGCACAGAAGGGAAAGGGCAACCUUUCUCCUAACCUCAAUUAAAAGUUUGAGUAGCCUCAGAGCUUGUAGGAAGGGAAGUAGGAAGCAGGGGGCAAAUUGAGAAGUCUUGAACCUUUGUUGAAGGUACAAGCAUUGGAUGACACACCGUUUUAGUGAGAACCGAUGCCAUUUUUUAAUACAAAAAAAAAAAACGUACAAAAACAUACUUUCCACUCACUUUGUGGGUUUGUUUCAGCAUCUCAGUCACCGACCCAUCGUUCCAUUACCACCCCUCCCAGUGUGAUAGUUGUGGUGAACGUUGCUCCUGCAUAUUGAGGUCGCGCUGUGCUUACGGGAAAGCUGACUUUGCAUGAAACAGAAGGACUCGAUGCCAGUCGGCACUCACGCCCCUUAAACAGAAAGCUCUGUGGAAAUGUGAGAAUUGAGAAAUGAUGUGACGGGUCAUAAAUGUCCAAAAGUCUCAACAAUAAGGUAAAGAUAUCAACAACAGCAAAGGCAAGCUGGGGGAAAUCUUUCAGAGGAGCUGAAGUUGAGGACAGAACACGAAAAAGUAUUUUCUAAUACUAAAAAGUCGCACCCGCAUCAACUUAAAAAUUGAAAAAUAACUUCUUGGCACAGGGCGGCUUCAGGUCAGAGUUCUGGACCCCCGG